This 815-nucleotide long non-coding RNA is filed under the name Helianthus annuus (common sunflower). Lineage: Eukaryota; Viridiplantae; Streptophyta; Magnoliopsida; Asterales; Asteraceae. The record is from RNAcentral.
UCUCCACAUUUUCACAUAACAAUCCAUCUACCGUCCUUCCAAAUCUAACUUCUAAAAGUAAUAAACAAUGCCAAUGAGUUAGUGGUGGAGUGAUAAGGGAGAGACCUUGUGUUCCAAAUGACCCAAGGUUUUCUCCGGUUCGGAAGGCGAGUGUAUCCCGAUGUGGUGAAUUUCGCCAGUAACCCAUUUGGAGGAUUCGUUGGCCGUUAAAAAAAAAAGAAGUAAUAAACAAUAAUAUAAAAGUUAAAAGAAAAAAAAAUAAAAUAAAACUAAUAGAGUUUGACCUUAUCACAUCAAGGAAGUUCUCUCCACAAUUUCACAUAACAAUCCAUCUACCGUCCCUCCAAAUCUAAUUUUCUCUCUUGCGACGGUGUUAAAUUUUUUGAAACCAGUCAGAAUUAGAUCGUACAUAUAGCUAAAAAGGAAUAAUUUCAUUGGUUACAGAGAUCCGCCCUAAAAUCAAGUAAUCAAAGAGUUCGAUACAUAUAUUUUGUAAUUAGUUACACAAACAUAACCACCAUAUAUCAUAAGUCACCAGAAGCCGCAACUAAAAGUUACAUUACAUGCGGAGCAAACCAUCUUGGCACCGGGAAGGACAAGAUAGCCACCAAAAGUUGGGUCAAACAGUUCCUGGCAUAGACAGGGUUCCUGGCCCUUGAGCUUCCGGCAACAUUUCUCGGUGGGUGGCAAGUAUGAGACGAUGGAUUGUAAACACCAGCUCAGCUGCACUGGGUCACAUGUGGUUUCCGAUCCUGGUAGUUGUAGGUGUCCGGCUGACAGUCGCAGCACCAUCGCUGCUACCGUGAACAGCAGUA